GAUGAACGCUAGCGGGAGGCCUAACACAUGCAAGCCGAGCGGUAGAGAUUCUUCGGAAUCUUGAGAGCGGCGUACGGGUGCGGAACACGUGUGCAACCUGCCUUUAUCAGGGGGAUAGCCUUUCGAAAGGAAGAUUAAUACCCCAUAAUAUAUUUGAUGGCAUCAUUAGAUAUUGAAAGCUUUGGCGGAUAGAGAUGGGCACGCGCAAGAUUAGAUAGUUGGUGAGGUAACGGCUCACCAAGUCGAUGAUCUUUAGGGGGCCUGAGAGGGUGAUCCCCCACACUGGUACUGAGACACGGACCAGACUCCUACGGGAGGCAGCAGUGAGGAAUAUUGGACAAUGGGUUAGCGCCUGAUCCAGCCAUCCCGCGUGAAGGACGACGGCCCUACGGGUUGUAAACUUCUUUUGUACAGGGAUAAACCUACUCUCGUGAGAGUAGCUGAAGGUACUGUACGAAUAAGCACCGGCUAACUCCGUG
RNAcentral lists this ribosomal RNA (479 nucleotides) under uncultured bacterium. RNAcentral describes it as "partial 16S ribosomal RNA". It matches the Rfam family "Bacterial small subunit ribosomal RNA", at positions 28 to 507 of the family's 1533-position model. The record is from RNAcentral.